RNAcentral lists this non-coding RNA (214 nucleotides) under Devosia sp. Root436. The record is from RNAcentral. Lineage: Bacteria; Pseudomonadati; Pseudomonadota; Alphaproteobacteria; Hyphomicrobiales; Devosiaceae. RNAcentral also lists the same sequence under 1 other name.
UAACUCUGGACCUGUGUUGGUUCCCCGCGUCCGCUGCGGCAAGGGGAUCAAAAGGGAACACGGUGCGACGUACCCAUCAGGGCGCAAAACCGUGGCUGCCCCCGCAACUGUAAGCGGUGGGCCUCCUCAAUCAGCCACUGAUCCAUCGGGUCGGGAAGGCGAGGGGGCUGCCAUCACCGCGAGCCAGGAGACCUGCCGGCACAUGAACCGAGCU